AUGGGUGUCUUGUAUUACAAAUAUAAGAGUGCAAAGGAAACUUACCCUGUGACGUUGCCCUACUCGUUUAUAUCCGUGCCUGAUCUCAAGCAGCUCAUCUUGUCGAGUAACCGGCACGGCACUGGCCGUAGCCGCGGCCGCGGCCCCCGCGAGGAUAUCGCCCUCUCCAACGCCCAGACCGGCGAAGAAUACGCAGAGGAUGCAAUGAUACCACAGAACGUAACUGUGCUUGUCCGCCGAACUGCCGGGCAAGAGUCGGAGAAUAUCGUCGUGGUCUCCUCGCGGAAAGUAAUAGAAGAUGGUUCUAUAGCUUCAAACAGAUCAGUGGUUACUGAAUCAGUCUCAAAAUCUUGUUCCUCCGCAGAAGUGAAAGAUGAAGAUGCUGCAAUCGCAGCUGUGAUUGAUGCGGCUGAGCUUAAAUGGGAAGAGCAGUCAUUUAAGAGAGGACAAGCUCCUGGAAGGUUUACAUCAGGACGCCAUAAUGGCCAUGGAUCAUCAGAGAGGGAGGCACCUCCACCCGGCUAUGUGUGCCGCAGCUGCGGGGUUGCAGGCCAUUUCAUUCAACAUUGCCCACAGGAAAACCAGACGCCUCCACCUGGCUAUACCUGCUACAGAUGCCGGAUUCCAGGGCAUUUUAUUCAGCAUUGCCCAACCAUUGGCGAUUCCAAAUUUGACAACUACAAAAUGUCUCGUCCAGUUGCCCCGGUCGUAUCUCCAAAUCCGGCUGAUGACAUUCUAUCUGCACUUGCCCCAGCUGCAUCUGCGAGUGUAGUUGAUGACUUGCCAGCAGAACUCCACUGCCAACUAUGUAAUAAGGUGAUGGCAGAUGCGGUGUUAACAAGCAAGUGCUGCUUUGUCAGUUUCUGUGAUAAAUGUAUUCGAGAUUACAUUAUUACACAAUCGAAGUGCAUUUGUGGAGUCAAGGUCCUUGCAGAUUCCCUCAUCCCCAACCCCACAGUUAGGAGCACAAUCAGCAAUUUGUUAGGUACAAGGACUUGCAGCACUGCCAGCGGUACAGGGAAGCACAGAAGUUCUUCAGGAAGCAACCCUGAUCCCAAAUCACAGAGCCACACCACCUCGGCUGCUUUGGAAAGGGACACAAAGCAAUGUAUGGACAACCAGCUAUCGGCAGCUUCUCCCGACGCCCGCCUCCAGGUCGCCACAGAAGGUGAUCAAGUUGACCGCCCUCAGAAGAAUUCUGAUCUGAAGAGCAACACUGAAGGCUCUGCAGGGCGUUCAGUAGAGAAAGCCGUACCUGGUGCUGACCUCCCCAAACUGAAGGAUGUGAGCGAAUCAACUUUAAAGAACGGUACUAUUUCAGGGAGCUUGGAACCAAAAGUUGCUAGGCCUGAUCAGUUGAAGAAGAAGCGGAAGAAGGCAGACUCAUCUAAGGCUGUUCAUCCAAACAAUGCUGACUAUGGUUACAACGUUCCAUUUGACCCUGCAUAUUGUAACCCUUUCAAUGGUGCAUAUCCCAUGGGUCCAUUUGGUGUACCUGAUCCAUACAUGUACGGCUCAAUGGGCAUGCCCUAUGGUGGUUUCCCGAUGGGUCCAUUUGGUAUGAAUCCCUACGGCAAUAUUCCGCCGCAGGCUCUUGCCAUGCAAGGCUAUCCGCCAAACUAUCAAAGCUGGGAAAACCAGGCCGCGCUACACCGUGAUGCCGAAGCUGCUGCACGCUCAAGGCAGGUCUCCCAGGGGAACGCUGAAGCUGCUGCACGUUCAAGGCAGACCGAGAGGCCAAAUGACUCCGGUGCUUGGCCCAGGCCAUCAGAUCGCAACCAGCGCAUGGGCUCUCCUCAAGGCAGAGAGUUGAGGGACAGGCCCCAGUCAAGACCUGAACCAUCAGAGCGCAACCAGCGUUUGGGUUCUCCUCGCGGCAGAGAGUCCAGAGACAGGUCCCGGUCUAGAUCUAAACCAUCAGAGCGCAGCCAGCGCUCGGUUUCUCCUCGCCGCAGAGAGUCGAGGGACAGGUCCCGGUCAAGACCGGCAAGGAGUAGUAGGGACCAUGGGCGUUCCGACAGAGGUUCCAGUGACUACCACGAGGAUCACCAUGACAGGAAGAGAAUGCGUGUCUCUUCUACCGUUGAUGGUGAUACAGAGAGCAGCCAGAGGUCCAGACACAGUUCUAGGAGCAGCCUCAGGCGCGACGACGCAAGCGACGAUGAGCAGAAUUUCAAGAGGAAGUGGGGACGAUGA
RNAcentral lists this ribosomal RNA (2196 nucleotides) under Triticum aestivum (bread wheat). RNAcentral describes it as "partial small subunit ribosomal RNA". The record is from RNAcentral. Lineage: Eukaryota; Viridiplantae; Streptophyta; Magnoliopsida; Poales; Poaceae.